Molecule: ribosomal RNA, 253 nt
Filed under: uncultured bacterium
Lineage: Bacteria
Description: partial 16S ribosomal RNA
Rfam family: Bacterial small subunit ribosomal RNA
Source: RNAcentral
UACGUAGGUGGCGAGCGUUGUCCGGAUUUACUGGGCGUAAAGGGAGCGUAGGCGGACUUUUAAGUGAGAUGUGAAAUACUCGGGCUCAACUUGAGUGCUGCAUUUCAAACUGGAAGUCUAGAGUGCAGGAGAGGAGAAUGGAAUUCCUAGUGUAGCGGUGAAAUGCGUAGAGAUUAGAAAGAACACCAGUGGCGAAGGCGAUUCUCUGGACUGUAACUGACGCUGAGGCUCGAAAGCGUGGGGAGCAAACAGG